CCUACGGGUGGCAGCAGUGGGGAAUAUUGGGCAAUGGGCGCAAGCCUGACCCAGCAACGCCGCGUGAAGGAAGAAGGAUUUCGGGUUGUAAACCUCUGUUUGGAGGGACGAAGAAAGUGACGGUACCUCAGGAAUAAGCCACGGCUAACUACGGGCCAGCAGCCGCGGUAAUACGUAGGCGGCAAGCGUCAUCCGGAUUUAUUGGGUGUAAAGGGCGUGUAGGCGGGAAAGCAAGUCAGAUGUGAAAUCUCAGGGCUCAACCCUGAGCCUGCAUUUGAAACUGUUUUUCUUGAGUGCUGGGGAGGCAAUCGGAAUUCCGAGUGUAGCGGUGAAAUGCGUAGAUAUACGGAGGAACACCAGUGGCGAAGGCGGAUUGCUGGACAGUAACUGACGCUGAGGCGCGAAAGCGUGGGGAGCAAACAGGAUUAGAUACCCGGGUAGUC
RNAcentral lists this ribosomal RNA (443 nucleotides) under uncultured bacterium. RNAcentral's name for it is "partial 16S ribosomal RNA". It matches the Rfam family "Bacterial small subunit ribosomal RNA", at positions 338 to 795 of the family's 1533-position model. The record is from RNAcentral.